UUAGCUCAGUCGGCAGAGCAUCAGACUUUUAGUCUGAGGGUCGGGGGUUCCUACCUCUCA
Molecule: transfer RNA, 60 nt
Filed under: Trichobilharzia regenti
Lineage: Eukaryota; Metazoa; Platyhelminthes; Trematoda; Strigeidida; Schistosomatidae
Rfam family: tRNA
About the family: Transfer RNA (tRNA) molecules are approximately 80 nucleotides in length. Their secondary structure includes four short double-helical elements and three loops (D, anti-codon, and T loops).
Source: Rfam by way of RNAcentral